UAAGUGAAGAGUUUGAUCCUGGCUCAGAGUGAACGCUGGCGGCAGGCCUAACACAUGCAAGUCGAGCGGUAACAGGAGAGAGCUUGCUCUCUUGCUGACGAGCGGCGGACGGGUGAGUAAGGCAUCGGAAUCUGCCCUGACGUGGGGGAUAACGUAGGGAAACUUACGCUAAUACCGCAUACGUCCUACGGGAGAAAGCGGGGGAUCGCAAGACCUCGCGCGGCAGGAUGAGCCGAUGUUCGAUUAGCUAGUUGGAGGGGUAAAGGCCCACCAAGGCGACGAUCGAUAGCCGGUCUGAGAGGAUGAUCGGCCACACUGGGACUGAGACACGGCCCAGACUCCUACGGGAGGCAGCAGUGGGGAGUUUUGGACAAUGGGCGAAAGCCUGAUCCAGCCAUGCCGCGUGAGUGAAGAAGGCCUUCGGGUUGUAAAGCUCUUUCAGGUGGAAAGAAAGCGGAUGGGCUAAUACCCUGUUCGG
This 478-nucleotide ribosomal RNA is filed under the name Lysobacterales bacterium. RNAcentral's name for it is "bacterial SSU rRNA". It matches the Rfam family "Bacterial small subunit ribosomal RNA", at positions 1 to 475 of the family's 1533-position model. The record is from RNAcentral. Lineage: Bacteria; Pseudomonadati; Pseudomonadota; Gammaproteobacteria; Lysobacterales.